Molecule: long non-coding RNA, 755 nt
Organism: Gymnodraco acuticeps
Lineage: Eukaryota; Metazoa; Chordata; Actinopteri; Perciformes; Bathydraconidae
Exons: 2
Source: RefSeq, a predicted model, not a curated record
GAUGAUGAGGGACAAACUGAGGAUGAGGGACAAACUGAGGAUGGAGUGGACACUGGUGGUCCCAAGCGUGAGUUCCUGACCCUCCUAAUGGAAUGCCUGAGAAUGAGAAGAAUAUUUGAUGGUCCACAGGACAGGAAAUUCCUCAAGUUCGACAAUGCAGCUGCAAAAGAUGACGAAUACUUUCAUGCUGGGAGGAUGAUUGCAACUUCUAUAGUUCAAAAACACAAGGAGAAAAAGAAGAAAACAUCAUGUCAUGGCUCACUGUCUCAAAAUCUGAUUCUAAAUGUAUAAUGUUCUUUAUAAAGAUAUAACUAAUACACAAUUAUGAAUGUAUAAUAUAAGCUGUUUUGUGUAUUUAAUCAUGCGUUGGUCUACAAUUUAAUGAUGGCUUCUACAUAUUUCACAUAAACAGACAAUGAAAAAAUGUGUCCUUCAUGCUGAUAACUAGUGUAUGCAUCUGCAAUUAGUAUUCUAAACAGAGCAGUGUGUUGAAUCCUUAUUUCUUGCAUUUGAAACAGAUACAAUACAAAAAGUGAACUUACUGUUGUGUUCAACUUCUGCCAAAAACUGUACAUGUUUGCCACAGGAGCCACAUAGCACUUGAACUGUCCACAGAUGUUGGCCACAGAAAGGACAAAACAUGGCAGCCUGAAAAGACAUACAUUGAUGUAGUGAAUCCAUGUAAUCAAGUCAAUCAAAAACACAUAGUCUAAAUAGUGGUUAGCUAAAUAAAUAGAUACAUCAUGUUCACCGUU